This 7789-nucleotide long non-coding RNA is filed under the name Lactuca sativa (garden lettuce). RNAcentral's name for it is "long non-coding RNA (LSAT_LNC004884)". The record is from RNAcentral. Lineage: Eukaryota; Viridiplantae; Streptophyta; Magnoliopsida; Asterales; Asteraceae.
GAUGAGAGGCCUCGUUGUUGUUUGAUUGAGUCAUCUAGCGGAGUUUAGAUGACGACCACUGGCUAUUCUAGACAGUCUUGUGGAAACAUUAGCAGGUUCGCCACCUGUAGGUGUUAAUGAACUUGGGUGUUCAUUCGCUGUACUCCAUCCCCCUCAUGGUUGCCUUAUUUGACUUAUAUUGCUGAGGUACCCCCGAAGCAUGUGUUGUCGCCCCGAUGAAAUAUUCUUAGACUAGGUCCCUUAUGUUAGUUGUUUUAGGGACAUUAAAGUGAGAAUAACGGGAAUGGGUAAUUGGGUUAUUGUUGGUUGGUGAAAAUUAAAUAUGAUAUUUAUUGUGGGUUGAAAACCCUAUAUGCUCACCAGGCUCCCAAGCCUGACCCACUCAGUUUUAAAUUGUAUUACAGGUAGUGGCGGAAGGGCAUGAGAUGGAUGAACCAUCAAGUUGUUUUGUUUACAAGUCUGCAUAUGUUUAUAUUUGUUAUAUGACUUGUAAUGUAUUCGUUUAUGCUUAUUGGUCUGUAUCGGAACAUGACACCCCGAGUUUUGAUUAUAAUGAAAAUACAUUUCUUUUAUGAAAUGCUUCGGUAAACAAUGUUUUAUCAUGUUUUGUUUUUGGGAACAAAUUCCGCAACUCUUUCAAAUCAAAAGGAUUUACUCUGAAAAUAUUUAAAAGCAUAAAUGAAAAUCGGUCUUUUCUGGCCGAGAUUUUGGGGAUGUCACAGUUGGUAUCAGAGCAUUAGUUUAAGCGAACUAGGAAUUUGUAGGAUUUCUAGACUUAAACUUAGAAUGCUAAGUGAAGUUUUGAGAUGUGUGUCUGUUGUGAUUUAGACACGAGCACUAGUUUAUUUUAGGAAAGUUGCCUAAAAUGCUUUAUGUGCUAAAUGUUAUAUGUUGCCAUAUAUGAUAUUAUUUGUUCGGAUCUAUGGUCUGUUGCCGACCGGAUCUAGAAACCUUAUGUGUGUAGGAUUCUAAGCGUACGUCUACGAUAUUAGAACUAGCAUGUAAACGUUUCGGAGUGAUAAGGAUGAUUUGAAUAUCUAUCAUGAUUGAGGAUCUAAUUUCACCUUAUUCGGUGUAGAUCAAAAUGGUGAGAACAAGAAGUGGAGUUGGAAAUGCUGACGAAAACAGGAAUCAACCACCAGUGAUUGAGCCAAUACCUGUCGUAGCAGCAGCACCUGAGCCAAUAACCAUGGCUGGUGUGCAAUUGAUGAUUCAGACGAUGUUGGAUCGUCAGAUGGAUGAAACUAGACGGUUGCUUCAACAAAAUCGUGAAGAACUGUCGAUUCGUGUGGAAGAGCCUGAACUGAAUGAAGGGCACUCGGAAGGUGGAAACUUCAGUGGGUCUGUUGGUCCAGCCAACCCACCGAUAGUUAGGCAAGAUAACCAUGAUGGAAGGAAUGAUGGAAUGGGAUGCAAGUACAAGGACUUUUUGACUUGUAAACCAUCGACCUUCAAUGGAAAGGAGGAUCCGAUUGGGGUUAUGGAUUGGAUCUCCGAAAUGGAGUUAGCCUUUAUGACAUGUGGCUGUAGAGGCAAGUUGCAGACUAUCUAUGCCGUGCGACAAUUCCGAGGUGGAGCCGUUCGUUGGUGGAACACUCUAGGGAAGACCUUAAGCCCUAAUGAGCCACUGCAAUUGUCAUGGGCAGAGUUCUUGGUGCAGUUCAAGCGCAAGUUCUGCUCGGCUCAAAAUCUGUUGGAGUUGGAGAACAAGUUUUUGACAUUGACGAAGGGUAGCAUGUCAGUGGAUGAGUACACCAAUAACUUCACCGAUAAGAUGGAGUUUGCCUUGCGUAUCGUUCCAGACGAGCUGACAAAGGUGGAUCGGUAUGCGAAGGGACUUCCAUGGGAGUACGAGGUGCCGGUACGUCAGGCACUUACUCUAGAGGCAGCUAUCUGGGCUGCCAAGUCUGUGGAGAACAUGAUCAAGGGGAGAACCACCGUCAAGGUUGAGGUUGGUGAGAAAAGGAAGUUUGAAGGAACAUCUGGUUCCAGUAAGAAGAGCAAAUUUUCGAAAUCUGAUUCGAAAAAGUUUGGAGGAAAAGGAGGCGAAGCAAAGUGGUGUGAUAAGUGUAAGAAAAAGCACUUUGGGAAAUGUAGCGAGGAUGUGACCUGCUACAAGUGUGGAAAGGUUGGACAUUUUGCCAAUGAAUGUCCGAACAACAAAAGGAUGUGUUUUGGGUGUAAUGAAGAGGGGCAUAUUUUGAAAGACUGUCCGAAGAAGAAGGAGGCAGCUAGGCCCAACAUUCCACCAAAGCCGAAGGCGAGAGCCUUCCAGAUGACACUUGAGGCUGCGAAAGAUGAAGCUGAUGUCGCUUCAGGUACCUUUCUCGUAAACGAAUUACCUGCUCAUAUAUUGUUUGAUUCUGGAGCCAACUACUCCUUUAUUUCGCAUGAGUUUGGUAGAAAGCUAGCUUUGCCUGUUGAUAGACUAGAUAAUGCUUUAUUAGUCGAAGUAGCUAGUGGCAAGUUUGUACCUGUUAGCCAUCGUAUGAAAAACGUCUUGAUCGACCUUAAUGGGAAUAAGUUUCUCGAGGAAUUAUUGCCUAUCGAACUAAAUGGUUUCGACAUCGUCUUGGGAAUGGAUUGGCUUAGCGCCAAUGAUGCCGAAAUUUUGUGCAAGAAGAAGAUAGUUAAAGUAAACCCGCCUGGGAAAGAUUCGUUUAUGGUGUAUGGGGACAAACGCAGAGUGAAUUCUGGAAUCAUUUCUCUAAUGAAAGCCAGAAAGUGUUUGACCAAGGGAUGUACAUCAUAUUUAGCAUUCGUGAUUGAUGCUAAGAAAGAAAAGAAGGUGAUGCAGAGCAUUCCAGUGGUGUGUGAUUAUCCGGAAGUAUUUCCCGAGGAUCUUCCUGGAUUACCACCUGAUAGACAAGUGGAGUUCAGAAUAGACUUGUUACCAGGAACCACGCCAAUAGCAAAAGCACCUUAUCGAUUAGCACCGACGGAGAUGAAGGAGCUGAUGAUGCAACUUCAGGAGUUAUUGGACAAAGGUUUCAUUAGACCUAGUUCAUCGCCCUGGGGAGCUCCGGUGUUAUUUGUAAAGAAGAAAGAUGGAAGUAUGAGAAUGUGCAUCGAUUACAGAGAGCUGAACAAGGCAACAAUAAAGAAUAGAUAUCCGUUGCCGAGGAUUGAUGACCUGUUUGAUCAAUUGCAAGGUUCGAGCUAUUUCUCGAAGAUCGAUCUUAGGUCAGGAUAUCAUCAGCUGAAAGUAAGAGAGCAAGAUAUCGAGAAGACUGCAUUCAGAACUAGAUAUGGACACUACGAGUUCUUGGUUAUGUCGUUUGGACUAACCAAUGCUCCAGCAGCGUUCAUGGAUUUGAUGAAUAGGGUUUGUAAUCCUUUCCUUGAUAAAUCCGUGAUAGUGUUCAUAGACGACAUUCUGAUCUACUCGAAAAGCCAGGAGGAGCAUGGCAGACACUUGCGAGAAGUGUUAGAAGUUUUGAAGAAGGAGAAGCUUUAUGCGAAGUUCUCCAAAUGUGAUUUUUGGAUUCGUGAGGUCCAAUUCUUGGGUCACGUGGUCAACCAAGAAGGGAUAAUGGUUGAUCCAGCGAAGAUCGAAGCUGUGACGAAGUGGGAACAACCGAAAAGUCCCACGGAGAUUCGAAGCUUUUUAGGAUUAGCCGGAUAUUACCGAAGGUUUAUCCAAGGCUUUUCUUCGAUUGCUACUCCAUUAACAGCUUUGACCCACAAAGGAGCUACUUAUGCUUGGAGUGAGAAGCAUAAAGAAGCAUUCGAGAAGUUAAAGAAGAAGCUAUGCGAGGCACCGAUACUUUCUCUACCCGAUGGAGUUGAAGACUUCGCUGUUUAUAGCGAUGCGUCUGGUGUUGGAUUGGGUUGUGUUUUGACCCAAAGAGAAAAGGUGAUAGCAUAUGCGUCUCGACAGCUGAAAGAGCAUGAAAAGAAUUACCCGACUCAUGAUUUGGAGUUGGCAGCGGUAGUUUUCGCUCUGAAAAUAUGGAGGCAUUACCUCUAUGGCACGAAGUGCAAACUUUUCACUGAUCAUAAGAGUCUCCAAUACCUCUUUAAUCAGAAAGAAUUGAAUAUGAGGCAACGACGCUGGCUAGAAUUACUUAAAGACUACGACUGCGAGAUACUUUACCACCCCGGUAAAGCUAAUGUUGUUGCUGAUGCUCUCAGUCGGAAAGUCAAUCUUGAAAGGAAGAGGCCAAGAGCGUUGAGAAUUGAAGUUGUCUCGACUAUUGUGGAAAGUAUAAAGAAAGCUCAAGAGGAAGCUUCUGAGAAAAAUGACCGAAAGGAGGAACGUUUGGGUAAAACGUUGGUGUUUGGUACUAACGGUCAUGGACUGAAGGUAUUCCAAGAUCGUAUUUGGGUACCUAAGUCAGGAGGAAUUAGGGAUCUUCUGAUGGAAGAAGCUCACAAAACCAUGUACUCAAUUCAUCCGGGUAGCACUAAAAUGUAUAGGGACCUGAAACCCUACUACUGGUGGCCGACGAUGAAGCUUGAUGUUGCAAAGUAUGUGGCCGAGUGUGUGACUUGUGCGAGAGUCAAGACACAACAUCAGAAACCUUACGGGAGUUUAGAACCAUUGCCUGUGCCUAUGGGUAAGUGGGAAGACAUUGCUAUGGAUUUUGUCACUAAACUGCCCAGAACAAAGAAUGGUCACGACAUGAUUUGGGUGGUCGUUGAUCGAUUCACUAAGAGUGCGCAUUUCAUAGCGGCCAGGGAGAAAUGGUCUAUGGAAAAGCUUGCGAAUUCUUACGUGAAGGAAAUUGUGAGGCUUCACGGUGUUCCGUUAACGAUUGUAUCGGAUCGUGAUAGCCGUUUCACCUCAAGGUUUUGGAAAAGUCUACAAGAGGAAAUGGGUACCAAGUUAUGUUUAAGCACAGCUUACCAUCCGCAGACUGAUGGUCAGAGUGAAAGAACAAUACAAACACUUGAAGAUAUGCUGAGAGCAUGUACCUUGGAAUUCCUAGGUAAUUGGGAUGAACAUUUACCGUUGGUAGAAUUUUCCUAUAAUAAUAGUUUUCACUCGAGCAUUAAGAUGGCACCUUAUCAAGCUUUGUAUGGACAGAAGUGUCGUACGCCGUCUUGUUGGCUUGAGGCUGGGGAAAAGCAGUUUAUGGGACCGGAGAUGGUUCAUCAAACUGCUGAAAAGUUGAAAAUAAUUAGGGAAAGAAUGUUAGCAGCUCAAGAUCGUCAAAAGAGCUAUGCUGACAAGAAGCGAAGACCGAUGACUUUUGAGGUUGGAGAUUCGGUUUUGCUUAAAGUCUCGCCGUGGAAGGGACUUAUAAGAUUUGGUAAAAGGGGAAAGUUGAGUCCAAGGUUUAUUGGACCGUUUAAAGUCCUUCAGAGGAUUGGGAAUCAAGCUUACAAGCUCGAAUUACCCGAAGAACUGAAUGGAAUUCACAACACCUUUCAUGUGUGUUAUUUGAGGAAGUUCACGGGAGAAGUUCCCGAUAUAAUUCCAAUUUCUGAAUUGAGAAUUGAUGAGAACAAAAGGUUGAUUGAAGAACCAGAGGCAAUUGUUGACCGAAAGACUAAGAAGUUGCGACGCAAAAUGGUUGGGUUAGUGCUUGUCCGAUGGAAACACACGAAUGGGCCGAAUCUCACCUGGGAGACGGAGAGUGACAUGUUGAGUCGCUAUCCGCAUUUGUUUGUUGAUGUGUGAUUCCGGGGACGGAAUCAUUCUAAGGUGGAGAGAAUUGUAACGCCUGUGUUUCCGGGCUUGCCAUUUUUAGCAAUGUAAUAGUCUAGGUUAACCUUUGUAACCCGUUUUGAAAUAAUAAGAUUGUAUUAUUUGAGUAUUAUGUGUUUUGUGCUUAAUUGCUUAAUUAUGUGGUUUGAUUAAUUAAGAAUAAAAAUAAGCGUCAAAAUUUAAGUGUAAAAUAAACUUAAUAUCUUUGGUUAAUGUUGUAGUAGUUGAAACGAGGUUUCCGAAUAUAUAUAGAACGCCCAAAUCUGACUUCGUAUGAGGAAGUUAUGAUUUAUCGAAGUUCCGGCUUAGCGAUAUACAGCCUGUUUUACUCGAUUUGAGAUCGAGCGGUUGUUAGCCGAAGCAAUCUAAAUGAGAAUCGAAGAUCUCAUUGUUGGUAUUGAAACGAUAAAAAGUUAGGCGAGAACGGACGUCAAACGAAGAAGUUAUGAAUUUAUAACGAAAGUUUCUGUCCCGGCCUAUUAAAAAUAAUUAAUAAAAAUAAAGUCAAAAUUAGCCGACGGAGUCUAAACGAAAGUCGUAGAGCGUGGUCUCACCUUCGCGUGGAUAUAAAGAACGUCGAAAACGGAGUUCGUAUGAAGAAGUUAUGAAUUUCCGAAGUUUAUUAAUCAUUUUGUAUUUAUUUUUAAUUCAAAAUUCGGAAGCAUUAUCCGAAGGAGUCACCGAUCUGAUCCGAGGUACGCCCCGCGUACUCGAGUACGCCCCGCGUACUCCGAGGGAUGUCGACACUCGCACUCGAGCACUUCGGAUACGUAAGCAAUGACGUUUUGGGCAGUACGCCCCGCGUAACGCAGUACGCCCCGCGUACUCCGAGGCUCCAGCCUCCUAUAAAUAGGAUGCGAGGGUUCCGGGUAUUUUUGCCAAUUCCCUCUCGUUUUCGUGUCGAAGCUCUGUGCAAAAACCCCCGAAGCUACCCCGAAGUCCCGGUAUCAUACUCUAGCCCCGAGGCAAGUCCCGAGAUCCUGAAGAUCCCGAAAAGUGCGGUUCCCGAGUCGAAGCUCUGCCCGCGAGAAGUUCGAUUUUCGAGAAGAUCUUCCAGAUCUGCUGUGGAUUACUACUUCUAUAAGCCGUAGUGCUGUCCGAUCAUCUUCUGAUCAAGUGAGUGUGUAGUUAUUUCUUCUAAUACAAUAAUACGAAGUAUUUUAUAUAAAAAUACGUGCUAUGUGUAUAUAUUUGGUUGUGUUAUGUGUGAAUGAGUAUUCACUCUCUUCUAUCUUAUAGAUCUGCUUAUUUCUUUAUGAGAUAUGUGUUAUGUGUGUGUGUGCCUCAUCUGUUAUGUGAUAUAUGUGUUGAUUAAAGCAUGCUAUACAGGUUUUCUUUAAACUAUGUAUACAAAUGUAUAUUUUUAUCUACUAAUAUGUUGGGUAGAACAUGGGUAGACAGUUGGUGUGUAAUAAACAGAUGAGAGGCCUCGUUGUUGUUUGAUUGAGUCAUCUAGCGGAGUUUAGAUGACGACCACUGGCUAUUCUAGACAGUCUUGUGGAAACAUUAGCAGGUUCGCCACCUGUAGGUGUUAAUGAACUUGGGUGUUCAUUCGCUGUACUCCAUCCCCCUCAUGGUUGCCUUAUUUGACUUAUAUUGCUGAGGUACCCCCGAAGCAUGUGUUGUCGCCCCGAUGAAAUAUUCUUAGACUAGGUCCCUUAUGUUAGUUGUUUUAGGGACAUUAAAGUGAGAAUAAUGGGAAUGGGUAAUUGGGUUAUUGUUGGUUGGUGAAAAUUAAAUAUGAUAUUUAUUGUGGGUUGAAAACCCUAUAUGCUCACCAGGCUCCCAAGCCUGACCCACUCAGUUUUAAAUUGUAUUACAGGUAGUGGCGGAAGAGCAUGAGAUGGAUGAACCAUCAAGUUGUUUUGUUUACAAGUCUGCAUAUGUUUAUAUUUGUUAUAUGACUUGUAAUGUAUUCGUUUAUGCUUAUUGGUCUGAAUCGGAACAUGACACCCCGAGUUUUGAUUAUAAUGAAAAUACAUUUCUUUUAUGAAAUGCUUCGGUAAACAAUGUUUUAUCAUGUUUUGUUUUUGGGAACAAAUUCCGCAACUCUUUCAAAUCAAAAGGAUUUACUCUGAAAAUAUUUAAAAGCAUAAAUGAAAAUCGGUCUUUUCUGGCCGAGAUUUUGGGGAUGUC